This 253-nucleotide ribosomal RNA is filed under the name uncultured bacterium. RNAcentral's name for it is "partial 16S ribosomal RNA". It matches the Rfam family "Bacterial small subunit ribosomal RNA", at positions 524 to 776 of the family's 1533-position model. The record is from RNAcentral.
UACAGAGGUCUCAAGCGUUGUUCGGAUUCAUUGGGCGUAAAGGGUGCGUAGGCGGCGCGGUAAGUCGGGUGUGAAAUCUCGGAGCUUAACUCCGAAACUGCAUUCGAUACUGCCGUGCUUGAGGACUGGAGAGGAGACUGGAAUUUACGGUGUAGCGGUGAAAUGCGUAGAUAUCGUAAGGAAGACCAGUGGCGAAGGCGGGUCUCUGGACAGUUCUUGACGCUGAGGCACGAAGGCCAGGGGAGCAAACGGG